RNAcentral lists this unclassified non-coding RNA (253 nucleotides) under uncultured Oligoflexaceae bacterium. RNAcentral's name for it is "contains 16S-23S intergenic spacer region". It matches the Rfam family "Bacterial small subunit ribosomal RNA", at positions 524 to 776 of the family's 1533-position model. The record is from RNAcentral. Lineage: Bacteria; Pseudomonadati; Bdellovibrionota; Oligoflexia; Oligoflexales; Oligoflexaceae.
UACGAAGGGUGCAAGCGUUGUUCGGAAUUACUGGGCGUAAAGGGUUCGUAGGCGGGAGUGUAAGUCGAAUGUGAAAUCCCUGGGCUUAACCUAGGACGUGCAUCCGAAACUACAUUUCUUGAGUAUUGGAGGGGGUCGUGGAAUUGCUGGUGUAGGAGUGAAAUCCGUAGAGAUCAGCAGGAACGCCAGAGGCGAAAGCGACGGCCUGGCCAAAUACUGACGCUGAGGAACGAAAGCGUGGGGAGCAAACAGG